CCUACGGGAGGCAGCAGUGAGGAAUUUUCCGCAAUGGGCUAACGCCUGACGGAGCAAUGCCGCGUGGAGGAGGAAGGCCUGUGGGUCGUAAACUCCUUUUCUCAGAGAAGAAGAUCUGACGGUAUCUGAGGAAUAAGCAUCGGCUAACUCUGUGCCAGCAGCCGCGGUAAUACAGGGGAUGCAAGCGUUAUCCGGAAUUAUUGGGCGUAAAGCGUCCUGAGGUGGCUUACCCAGUCGACUGUGAAAGCUCAAGGCUCAACCUUGAAACGGCAGUCGAAACUUGUAAGCUUGAGUACGGUAGAGGCAGAGGGAAUUCCCGGAGGAGAGGUGAAAUUCGUAGAUAUCGGGAGGAAGGCCAAAGGCGAAAGCACUCUGCUGGGCCGAUUACUGACACUGACAGACGAAAGCUAGGGGAGCGAAAGGGAUUAGAUACCCCUGUAGUCCUAGCCGUAAACGAUGGAUACUAAGUGUUGCGCGACUCAACUCGUGCAGUGCUGCAGCUACGACGGUAACGUACGUCCGCCGUCGGGAGGUAGUGCGUCGCGAAGAGUAGAACGUACGAAGAAAGUUAGUACGGACGUGAGACGUAGACCGAACGGACGACGACGAGGGAGGAGG
Molecule: ribosomal RNA, 618 nt
Filed under: uncultured bacterium
Lineage: Bacteria
Description: bacterial SSU rRNA
Rfam family: Bacterial small subunit ribosomal RNA (bases 1-524)
Source: RNAcentral